AUGAGAACCUUAUUUUGGAACUGUCGGGGGAUUGGCGAUCCCGCGACAGUUCGUGAGCUCCGAGAGCUCAUCUUGGAAUGUGCGCUGGCGGUGGUAUGUAUUGCAGAGACACACUUGUCGAAACAAAGGGUGGAAGGCCUGAUGGGGACGUUAGGUUUUGAAGGUGGUUUUGCUGUUGCAAGUAGCGGAAGGAGUGGUGGUAUUGGUUUGUUCUGGAGGCACGGUCUGAAUUUGGAGGUGAAGAAUUUUUCACGAUACCAUAUUGAUGCUUGGGUGGCGAAGGAAGGGAAGGAGGAUUGGAGGCUCACAUGUUUUUAUGGGGAGGCCAACCGAAGUCUUAGGCAGAACACAUGGGACACCAUGACUCGACUAAGGAGCGAAUCAACGCUACAAUGGGUAUGCAUUGGUGACUUUAACGAAGUCCUAAGGAGGGAGGAGCAGAUGGGGCCCAAUGAGAGAGAGGUGUCACAAAUGACGGGGUUCAGGGAGGCGGUUGAUCUAUGCUGUCUGAAUGAUCUGGGGUAUAUUGGCUUGGACUGGACCUUUGAAAGGAGAUUGUUGGAGGAAAUUUUUGUAGAGUGCGCUUGGGCAGGGCGUUGGCCACGGCAGAGUGGAGCGCUAGAUUCCCUUUUGCAUCCCUUCGACACUUAG
This 651-nucleotide ribosomal RNA is filed under the name Triticum aestivum (bread wheat). RNAcentral's name for it is "partial small subunit ribosomal RNA". Lineage: Eukaryota; Viridiplantae; Streptophyta; Magnoliopsida; Poales; Poaceae. The record is from RNAcentral.